CUGCCUUUGAAGAAUGUUCAGAAACUUGACUUGGUCCAAAGAGCUACUUGGUCCAAAGAAUCUACUGGAAGUUUUGAUUCAGAAUGUCAAAGACCCCUCCAUGGUACUGGAGAAGAGGAAUAAAAACUCCUGCUUGUUAGAGCUAGAAGGGGCUCCAUCUGUGACCGGUGGCCUCAGGAUGUCCGAAUGUUAUUGUGAGUUCGCAACAGGUUCCACGACACGCUUUGACACACGGAGGAGGAUGGAGAGCCAGUUCAGAAGCCAGCUUUGGUGAGCAUCACUUCAAGACCCUUGAGCCUUGACUCCAUCGGCAGCAUCACACAGACAAAGAAGAGACAAAACUCAUGACUUCCACCAAGGACCGGCCCAUCGGUGGCUGUUUUUGGACGUCAAGAAGCAACGUCAGGACAACGUUGUCACCAAGGUAAGAGGUGACCCUUUUGGAUCAGAUCUAUGGGAAACAAGAGCAACGUUCACUGUAGACCAGGGGUCCCCAAACUAAGGCCUGGGGGCCAGAGGCGGCCAUUUACCUGCCCCCUGCCCUCAGUUUUAGACUUAGGCUUGCCCAAAGUCUGAAAUGACUUGAAGGCACACAACAACAAUCCUACUUAACUUGACUAUCUCAUUGGGAAGAAGCAGGCCCACACUUCCCAUUGAAAUCCUGAUAGGUUUAUGUUGGUUGAAAUUGUUUUUAUUUUUAAAUAUUAUAUUGUUCAUUCAUUUAUUAAUAUUGUGCUAUGGUAAUAAUAUAAUAUAUUGUGUUUAUAUUGCCACCACUAUGGGAAGAUAUAGCCACUAGCUAGCUACUUAGAGAGGAGACCUUUUAAAUUUUGUUUUUCUUCUUUCUUCUUUUUGAUGGUAAUAUAUAUGACAGAAGCUGAAAUGUUUAAAGGAACAAUAACACGUUUACUCUGGCACAAAGCUUAAUGGUUACAGUAACUUUCUCUUUAGAGGAACUUUGGUUAACAGUUGCAAAGCUAGAAUGAGGUGUUUCAAACUUCUUAAAAUGUCACUUCUUUCUUUAUUGCUCUAAACUGCAGUCACCCUGUGAAUUACAAUCACAGAU
Molecule: long non-coding RNA, 1066 nt
Filed under: Anolis carolinensis (green anole)
Lineage: Eukaryota; Metazoa; Chordata; Lepidosauria; Squamata; Anolidae
Description: lncRNA (ENSACAG00000035206.1)
Source: RNAcentral